UACCCGUCUUGAAACACGGACCAAGGAGUCUAACAUGCGCGCUAGUCGUUGGGUCGGAUACGCUCCGCUAAACCCGCAGGCGCAAUGAAAGUGAAGGCCACCCUUAAGCGGGGCCGAGGGAGGAAGGGGGCCCCCAGAGGGUCCCCCGCACUCCCGGGGCGUCUGAUUCCUCACUGCGAGGGGAGGCGCACCCAGAGCGCACACGUUGGGACCCGAAAGUGGUGAACUAUAA
This 232-nucleotide ribosomal RNA is filed under the name Epitheca cynosura. RNAcentral describes it as "Tetragoneuria cynosura partial 28S ribosomal RNA". It matches the Rfam family "Eukaryotic large subunit ribosomal RNA", at positions 646 to 836 of the family's 3401-position model. Lineage: Eukaryota; Metazoa; Arthropoda; Insecta; Odonata; Corduliidae. The record is from RNAcentral.